This 2354-nucleotide long non-coding RNA is filed under the name Zea mays. RNAcentral's name for it is "long non-coding RNA (ZMAY_LNC005420)". The record is from RNAcentral. Lineage: Eukaryota; Viridiplantae; Streptophyta; Magnoliopsida; Poales; Poaceae.
UUGGACGCCCCCCCCCCUCUCCCAUCUUCUUCCUCCUCAAACAUUUGCAGCCCUCACCACCCAAAACCCUAGCUGCCCCCCCAUUUCUUCCCCUCCUCCCAAGGUGCAGCCCUCCCGUGUGGUUCUCCGUCGUGUGGCUGCGAUCUCAAUUGGAGUUUGGAGGGAGGAAGAAGGAAGGAGUAAGGGAAGAACCUAAGGUGAAUUUGUGAUUAACUUUUGUUGUUUUUGUGCUGCAAUCAAUUGGAUUAUGUGUUUAUCUUUGCGAAUCGGUAGAGGUGCUGUCCAGGAAUUUUGUGAGUGGGUGAACAGCAGUAGUUCUAGGGAUUUCUGGGAAUUUUCGUGGGGUAAUUAGUGGGAAUCAGUGGGAUAAUCAUGUAGAGCUUUGUCAUACCUUUCCAACGAGUACUUAUGCGCUCGAUUCGGAGUUAUAAUUUAGGAGAUAUCGUCGUUUGAAUCCGGGUAUGUUGCUGUCCAAAAAAACAGAUUUUUCAGGUGGGUGAACAGCAGUAGUAUUAGCAGUUUCUGGGAAUUUUCGUGGGGUAAUUAGUGGGAAUCAGUGGGAUAAUCAUGUAGAGCUUUGUCAUACCUUUCCAACGAGUACUUAUGCGCUCGAUUCGGAGUUAUAAUUUAGGAGAUAUCGUCGUUUGAAUCCGGGUAUGUUGCUGUCCAAAAAAACAGAUUUUUCAGGUGGGUGAACAGCAGUAGUAUUAGCAGCUUCUGGGAAUUUUUCGUGGUUAAUUAGUGCUAACCAGUAUGAUAAUCAUGUAUGGCUUUGUCUUAUCUUUCCAAUGAGUACUUAUGCGCUUGAAUUGGAAUUAUAUUUUAAAAGAUAUCGCUGUUUGAAUCCGGGUAUGUCGCUGUCCAAAAGAGAAAAAAACAGAUUACAGGGUUCAACUUGUGAACUGUUUUGGGCUAAUUAGAUGUUGGAAUUUAAUUAUAAAUUGUAUACAAAACUUGUGGGGAAUUUUAUGUAGAUGCCUCUGGAGUUUUUGUUUGUUACCAAUGCUGUCAUAAUUUUGAAGUUAUGAAAUUAUUAAGCAGCGCCGCUACAGUUUGGUGGGUGUGGGGAGAGAUGUAACCCGUGGCGGGGUUUGAGUUUGUGCGUAGGUGCGGCGUCGUUUAUGAGCCUGGUUAUGUGAAAUUGGUGCACUAAGUUGUGUGUCAAAAACAGGUGGUGGACUUCCGGAUCGUACUUAGGGAUUUGCCCGAACUUCCGGUAAAGGCAAGUAAAUAUAGUGGUGGUUGCUACCGUUUGGUUUGCAUCCUAUUCCCUGUCAUUGAGUAUGCAUAAGUUUUUAAUUAUGUUAAUCAUUGAAUUCUAUGAUGAAGUUUAUUUGUUUGGAAGUAUUAAUUCUCAAUUGUCUAAUAUUGUGGAUGAUCAUAAUUUGGUUAUGAUAUAUGUGGUUGAUUCCCAUCUUGGAUGAAGUUGAAGUGUCUUUUUGAAUCACGUUAUAUGAAGUGUUGUAGGCAUGACAUGCACAUCGCAUCAUCCAUCUUGCAUUUUGAAGUUAUGUCGUGAUCUUAUGGUCCGACCGUACCGGUACAUUUUUAGCAUCGUAUGUUGCCCGAGGAGGGGUACGAUGCGGCUUCAUAUCCUUAGAGGUAUGAAGGCAGAAGUCAUCCUUGCAUUUGCAGACAUUUGCAUUCAUGAGGAAUAUAUGAAGUGUGACAUUACUAUGUUACUAUUGUGGUUUCUACCUGCGAGGUGUGGUAACUAGGUGUGUUGUACGUUGUAUACGUGCUGCAUCUUGGUAAUAAGAAGGUUGUGGAAUCAGGUGGUGGUAAAACAAUGUUCUUAUGUGGUUGAAUAGUUUGAUAAUAUUUUACUUGCUGAGAUAUGUCAUCUCACUCUUGCAUUACUCAAUGCAGGUACUUGAUACAUGUUGGGAAUGAGGGGAGUAGCAGCACGUCCACUUACACUCUCACAAUAACGCUGCCCAGGCGCAGCCAUGAUUUAAUUAGAAACUUAUUGUCAAAGGAAGUUUGUUUUUUAUAUAGUCGUGCACACUGAUUAAUUCAGUUCAGGUCGUACGUUUAUCUUCCCUUGCUAGCCGAUUAAUAAUACUUAGUAUGUUUUUGGACAUGAUAUAUGUUUAUAACCUGUUGCCCCCUUAUUUAUGCAAUCUUGCAAAGGGGAUGCUGCCGAAAUUUUAUAUAUGGACGUCAGAAGUGUAGUUCAGUAGCAUUCUGGGUUGUUUGUGGAACCUGGGGUGUUACACCUGGCGACGGGGUCCGAGGGCUCGAUGCCUCCCUCCGAUGGGAUUCCGUUACAAGAUCAUUCCCGCUGGUCUCGGAAAUGUCCUAGGGUACCUCGGGAGCGCAGCCCGAGCCUUGGUUAUGUAUCGAACGUACCC